GGAUGUAGGGCAAUCUGGCUAUGACUCCUGUCAUCCCCUACUGAUUGCCAGGGUUGAUUCAGCUAAUCUGGCUGGCUAGACUGGUGUCCCUUUCCUCCCUUACUGCUCCACAUGCAUCCCUCCUGAUGUGCUCUGUUGAAGAGGAGGACCUUUCCCAAUAGAGGAGGACCCUUCUUCUGUCAGGGUUAUAUGAGUAGCUGCAUUCCCCUGCUAGAACCUCCAAACAAAGUUUCAAGGUCCAUUUUUAGGAGAACCUAGGGUAGUCAAAAUUCCAAGACUCCAGACACAUCCAAAUGAGGUGCUGCAUGUGGCAAUUUGCCUUUCUUU
Vulpes vulpes (red fox) is the source of this 327-nucleotide unclassified non-coding RNA. Its record names the gene 7SK. It matches the Rfam family "7SK RNA". Rfam says of the family: 7SK was discovered as an abundant small nuclear RNA in the mid-70s but a possible function has only recently been suggested. Two independent studies have found that 7SK RNA binds the CDK9/cyclin T complex (known as elongation factor P-TEFb). Lineage: Eukaryota; Metazoa; Chordata; Mammalia; Carnivora; Canidae. The record is from Ensembl.